GUGUUAGUUAGGCAAGAGAGCUUGCCAGAUGUCUUAUUUUAUUUAGAGAUAAAGAGGAGACCGAAUGCUCUCAAGCCUCCCUGGUGACCACGGCCCACUCAGAAGAGCAAAAUUGCCUUCCUCCGGGCCUAUGGUGUUGGGAUCAGAGGAGAGAGAAAGUUCCUGUCAAUGACGUGUUCUGAAAGUCCAUCGAAUCUUGCUCACCUCUCUGCCUGCUCUAGGGAAGAAUGCCAUUUAGACCAGAUCAAACUGACG
Molecule: long non-coding RNA, 255 nt
Filed under: Homo sapiens (human)
Lineage: Eukaryota; Metazoa; Chordata; Mammalia; Primates; Hominidae
Description: long non-coding RNA NONHSAT201733
Source: RNAcentral